AACGCACAUUGCGCCCGCCAGCACUCUGGCGGGCAUGCCUGUCCGAGCGCCAUCUCACCGCCCAGGCGGCCCUGCCUGCCGCCUGGUGUUGGGGCCCCUACGCGCCGCCGUAGGCCCCGAAAUCCGUCGGCGAGCCCGCCGGAGCUCCCCAGCGCAGUGGCACAUCACCGCUGGGGGCGCCCGGGAGGUCCUCUGCCAGACGGCGCCGCGCCGCGGCGCCCAGCGACUGCUUGGCCUCGGAUCAGGUAGGACUACCCGCUGAACUUAA
RNAcentral lists this unclassified non-coding RNA (268 nucleotides) under uncultured fungus. RNAcentral describes it as "partial contains 5.8S ribosomal RNA, internal transcribed spacer 2, and large subunit ribosomal RNA". Lineage: Eukaryota; Fungi. The record is from RNAcentral.